GAUGAACGCUGGCGGCGUGCCUAAUACAUGCAAGUCGAGCGAUGCGGGGACGGGUGAGUAACACGUGGAUAACCUCCUUAAAGUCUCCGUCAACGUCGGGAAACAGGAGCUAAACGGGAUACUCAGAGGUGGAUGCGCGCUGCAGUAGCUAGUUGGUAAGGUAACGGCGUACCAAGGCAACGAUGCAUACCCGACCUGAGAGGGGGAUCGGGCAAACGGGAACGGAGACACGGUCCAGAAUCCUACGGGAGGCAGCAGUAGGGAAUCUUCCGCAAUGGACGAAAGGCUGACGGAGCAACGCCGCGUGAGUGAAGAAGGUGUUGGGAUCGUAAAACUCUGUUAUUAGGGAAGCGGUACCUAAUCAGAAAGCCACGGCUAACUACGUGCCAGCAGCCGCGGUAAUUC
This 405-nucleotide ribosomal RNA is filed under the name uncultured bacterium. RNAcentral's name for it is "partial 16S ribosomal RNA". It matches the Rfam family "Bacterial small subunit ribosomal RNA", at positions 28 to 526 of the family's 1533-position model. The record is from RNAcentral.